This 439-nucleotide ribosomal RNA is filed under the name uncultured bacterium. RNAcentral's name for it is "partial 16S ribosomal RNA". It matches the Rfam family "Bacterial small subunit ribosomal RNA", at positions 339 to 795 of the family's 1533-position model. The record is from RNAcentral.
CUACGGGCCGCUCCAGUGAGGAAUAUUGCACAAUGGGGGGAACCCUGAUGCAGCAACGCCGCGUGGAGGAUGACGCAUUUCGGUGUGUAAACUCCUUUUAUAUGUCAAGAAAAUGACGGUAGCAUAUGAAUAAGCACCGGCUAACUCCGUGCCAGCAGCCGCGGUAAUACGGAGGGUGCAAGCGCUACUCGGAAUCACUGGGCGUAAAGGACGCGUAGGCGGGUUGGUAAGUCAGGUGUGAAAUCCUACAGCUUAACUGUAGAACUGCACUUGAAACUUCUAAUCUAGAGUAUGGGAGGGGGAGAUGGAAUUAGUGGUGUAGGGGUAAAAUCCGUAGAUAUCACUAGGAAUACCUAAAGCGAAGGCGAUCUCCUGGAACAUUACUGACGCUAAGGCGUGAAAGCGUGGGGAGCAAACAGGAUUAGAUACCCUGGUAGUC